This 497-nucleotide ribosomal RNA is filed under the name uncultured bacterium. Its description in RNAcentral is "partial 16S ribosomal RNA". It matches the Rfam family "Bacterial small subunit ribosomal RNA", at positions 28 to 507 of the family's 1533-position model. The record is from RNAcentral.
GAUGAACGCUGGCGGCGUGCCUAAUACAUGCAAGUCGAGCGAACAGACGAGGAGCUUGCUCCUCUGACGUUAGCGGCGGACGGGUGAGUAACACGUGGAUAACCUACCUAUAAGACUGGGAUAACUUCGGGAAACCGGAGCUAAUACCGGAUAAUAUAUUGAACCGCAUGGUUCAAUAGUGAAAGACGGUUUUGCUGUCACUUAUAGAUGGAUCCGCGCCGCAUUAGCUAGUUGGUAAGGUAACGGCUUACCAAGGCAACGAUGCGUAGCCGACCUGAGAGGGUGAUCGGCCACACUGGAACUGAGACACGGUCCAGACUCCUACGGGAGGCAGCAGUAGGGAAUCUUCCGCAAUGGGCGAAAGCCUGACGGAGCAACGCCGCGUGAGUGAUGAAGGUCUUCGGAUCGUAAAACUCUGUUAUUAGGGAAGAACAAAUGUGUCAGUAACUAUGCACGUCUUGACGGUACCUAAUCAGAAAGCAACGGCUAACUACGUG